This 2822-nucleotide ribosomal RNA is filed under the name Rhodobacteraceae bacterium bin131. Its description in RNAcentral is "bacterial LSU rRNA". It matches the Rfam family "Bacterial large subunit ribosomal RNA". Lineage: Bacteria; Pseudomonadati; Pseudomonadota; Alphaproteobacteria; Rhodobacterales; Paracoccaceae. The record is from RNAcentral.
UCAAGCGUAAAAAGGGCAUUUGGGGAAUGCCUUGGCAGCAAGAGGCGAUGAAGGACGUGAUACCCUGCGAUAAGCUACGGGAAGCCGGGAAUAGGCUUUGAUCCGUAGAUUUCCGAAUGGGGCAACCCACCUAUUGAUGCUUUAUUGAUGAGGCAACUCGUCAUUAAAGGAUCAUAUUAAGGUAUUAUAAAUCUGAAUAUAUAGGAUUUAUAAAGCAAACCCGGAGAACUGAAACAUCUAAGUACCCGGAGGAAAGGACAUCAACCGAGACUCUGUUAGUAGUGGCGAGCGAACGCAGACCAGCCAAGUUAUGAGAUUUACUAGAACGGAUUGGAAAAUCCGGCCAAAGAGGGUGACAGCCCCGUAUAGAAAAAGUUGAUUGACUGUAUUAAGUAGGGCGGGACACGUGAAAUCCUGUCUGAAGAUCGGGGGACCACCCUCGAAGGCUAAGUACUCCUUGCUGACCGAUAGUGAACCAGUACCGUGAGGGAAAGGUGAAAAGUACCCUGAUUAAGGGAGUGAAAUAGUACCUGAAACCGAAUGCUUACAAUCAGUCGGAGCCGCUUUGGCGGUGACGGCGUACCUUUUGUAUAAUGGGUCAUCGACUUGGUCUUACGAGCAAGCUUAAGCCGAUAGGUGUAGGCGUAGCGAAAGCGAGUCUUAACAGGGCGUUUAGUUCGUGGGAUCAGACCCGAAACCGAGUGAUCUAGGCAUGGACAGGCUGAAGGCAAGAUAACACUUGCUGGAGGGCCGAACCCACAUCUGUUGAAAUAGAUCGGGAUGAGCUGUGCCUAGGGGUGAAAGGCCAAUCAAACUCGGAGAUAGCUGGUUCUCUGCGAAAUCUAUUUAGGUAGAGCGUUGGACGAAUACCUUCGGGGGUAGAGCACUGGAUGGGUAAUGGGGCCACACAGGCUUACUGAUCCUAACCAAACUCCGAAUACCGAAGAGUACUAUCCGGCAGUCACACUACGGGUGCUAACGCCCGUAGUGGAAAGGGAAACAACCCUAACCGACAGCUAAGGCCCCUAAUUCGUGGCUAAGUGGGAAAGCAUGUGAGACGACCAAAACAACCAGGAGGUUGGCUUAGAAGCAGCCAUCCUUUAAAGAAAGCGUAAUAGCUCACUGGUCUAAACAAGUUGUCUUGCGGCGAAGAUGUAACGGGGCUCAAGCCACGAGCCGAAGCUUCGGGUCGCGCAAGCGGCGGUAGCAGAGCGUUCUGUAUUUGCUUGUUUUUGUUCAGAUUUUUCUGAAGUCUGGAUAAAAAUAGGUGCGUUGAAGAUAUUCUGUGAGGAAUGUUGGAGUAUACAGAAGUGAUAAUGAUGACAUGAGUAGCGAUAAACAGAGUGAGAAACUCUGUCGCCGAAAGCCCAAGGGUUCCUGUUUAAAGUUAAUCUGAGCAGGGUUAGCCGGCUCCUAAGGCGAGGCCGAGAGGCGUAGUCGAUGGGAAUCAGGUUAAUAUUCCUGAGCCAGUGGGAGUGUGACGGAUUGCAAUGACUGUCUGAUCUUAUUGGAUUGAUCAGGCUACUGUUGCGGUUCCUGGAAAUAGCACCCACAUAAAGACCGUACCCUAAACCGACACAGGUGGGCAGGUAGAGAAUACCAAGGCGCUUGAGAGAACCACGUUGAAGGAACUCGGCAAAUUGCCUCCGUACGUUCGCAAGAAGGAGGCCCAGUCUUUAGGUAACUAGAGGCUGGGGUCACAAACUAGGGGGUGGCGACUGUUUACUAAAAACACAGGGCUCUGCUAAGCCGCAAGGCGAUGUAUAGGGUCUGACGCCUGCCCGGUGCCGGAAGGUUAAAAGGAGAUGUGCAAGCAUUGAAUUGAAGCCCCGGUAAACGGCGGCCGUAACUAUAACGGUCCUAAGGUAGCGAAAUUCCUUGUCGGGUAAGUUCCGACCUGCACGAAUGGCGUAACGACUUCCCCACUGUCUCCAACGUGGACUCAGCGAAAUUGAAUUGCCUGUCAAGAUGCAGGCUUCCCGCGGUUAGACGGAAAGACCCCGUGAACCUUUACUACAGCUUCGCAUUGGCAACAGGCUUGUGAUGUGCAGGAUAGGUGGUAGGCAUGGAAAUCAGAGCGUCAGUUCUGGUGGAGCCACCCUUGAGAUACCACCCUUGACAUUCUUGUUGUCUAACCGCAAUCCGUCAUCCGGAUUCGGGACCGUGCGUGGUGGGUAGUUUGACUGGGGUGGUCACCUCCUAAAGAGUAACGGAGGUGUGCAAAGGUGGGCUCAGAGCGGUCGGAAAUCGCUCGUAGAGUAUAAUGGCAAAAGCCCGCUUGACUGCGAGACUGACAGGUCGAGCAGAGACGAAAGUCGGCCAUAGUGAUCCGGUGGUUCCAUGUGGAAGGGCCAUCGCUCAACGGAUAAAAGGUACUCCGGGGAUAACAGGCUAAUGGUGCCCAAGAGUUCAUAUCGACGGCACCGUUUGGCACCUCGAUGUCGGCUCAUCUCAUCCUGGGGCUGAAGCAGGUUCCAAGGGUAUGGCUGUUCGCCAUUUAAAGAGGUACGUGAGCUGGGUUUAGAACGUCGUGAGACAGUUCGGUCCCUAUCUGCCGUGGGUGUAGGAAACUUGAGAGGAGCUGUCCCUAGUACGAGAGGACCGGGAUGGACGUACCACUGGUGGACCUGUUGUGGCGCCAGCCGCAGUGCAGGGUAGCUAUGUACGGAAUGGAUAACCGCUGAAAGCAUCUAAGCGGGAAGCCAACCUCAAAAUAAGGUUUCCCUUGAGGAAUGUGGUAGACCACCACGCGAUAGGCCGGAAGUGUAAGUGCAGCAAUGCAUUCAGCAGACCGGUACUAAUUUUCCAAUCGGCUUGAUUUG